Molecule: ribosomal RNA, 375 nt
Filed under: uncultured organism
Description: partial 16S ribosomal RNA
Rfam family: Bacterial small subunit ribosomal RNA
Source: RNAcentral
GGAGGGAGCAAGCGUUGUUCGGAAUUACUGGGCGUAAAGGGCGCGCAGGCGGCUGGGUCAGUCUCGUGUGAAAUCCCUCGGCUCAACUGAGGAACUGCACGGGAUACUGCCCGGCUUGAGUUCGGGAGAGGGAAGCGGAAUUCCGGGUGUAGCGGUGAAAUGCGCAGAUAUCCGGAGGAACACCAGUGGCGAAGGCGGUUUCCUGGACCGAAACUGACGCUGAGGCGCGAAAGCUAGGGGAGCAAACGGGGGAUUAGAUACCCCGGUAGUCCUAGCCGUAAACGAUGAGUGCUGGGUGUAGGGGGUAUUGACCCCCCCCUGUGCCGAAGCUAACGCAUUAAGCACUCCGCCUGGGGGAGUACGGUCGCAAGGCUG